AAGGCAGGCAGCGCAGUUACAGUCGCGAAAGCUCGGGUGCUGUCCAGGAGGAGCCGGCCCGGCCCGGGCUGCGGCCAUGAUUAAGCAAUUCCUAGAGGGCACAGAAGAGGCAGAGCUGGCUGUGUUUGUAAAAGAGUUCCCUGGGGGUGAUGUCUCCCAUCCUGAGGCAAUCUGCCCUCCCCAACUACGCCUCCCCGCUAUCCUGGAUCCCUUUGAAGAGUGUGAGACCAAGGAGUCCAGGGCCUCCUCUCGGAUGCAGUCAGAAAACCAGGCUCACCUCUGCAUCUCUUCCUCAAGCAUGCUCAGCACCUCAAGCAGGCCUCGAAGCCCCUGGGGCAGGCUGGACCCUUAUGACUCCUCUGAGGAUGAUAAGGAGUAUGUGGGGUUUGCCACUCUCCCCAAUCAGGUUCAUCGAAAGUCUAUGAAAAAGGGCUUUGACUUCACCCUCAUGGUGGCAGGAGAGUCUGGGCUGGGCAAAAGCACCCUUAUCAACAGCCUCUUCCUCACUGACAUGUACCGGGACCGAAGAUUAUUGAAUUCUGAAGAACGGAUCAUGCAAACAGUGGAGAUCACUAAACAUACCAUGGACAUCGAGGAGAAAGGUGUCAAGCUGAAGCUCACGGUCGUGGACACACCAGGUUUUGGAGAUGCUGUGAACAACACUGAGUGCUGGAAGCCAGUGGCAGAUUACAUUGACCAGCAGUUUGAACAGUAUUUCCGGGAUGAGAGCGGCCUCAACCGUAAGAACAUUCAGGAUAACAGGGUGCACUGCUGCCUCUACUUCAUCUCUCCCUUUGGCCAUGGGCUCCGACCCUUAGAUGUAGAGUUCAUGAGGGCCCUGCAUCACCGAGUCAACAUUGUGCCCAUCUUGGCCAAGGCUGACACGCUGACACCCAAUGAAGUGGAGCACAAGAAACGAAAGAUUCGAGAGGAAAUUGAGCACUUUGGAAUCCAGAUCUACCAAUUCCCAGCUUGUGACUCCGAUGAAGAUGAGGAAUUCAAGUUACAGGACCAGGCCUUGAAGGACAGUAUCCCUUUUGCUGUCAUUGGCAGCAACACCGUGGUGGAGGCCAAAGGGCGGCGUGUUCGGGGACGGCUCUAUCCCUGGGGUAUCGUAGAAGUGGAAAAUCCUGGGCAUUGCGACUUUGUGAAGCUGAGGACCAUGCUGGUACGCACCCAUAUGCAGGAUCUUAAGGAUGUGACAAGGGAAAUACAUUAUGAGAACUAUCGAGCACAAUGCAUCCAGAGCAUGACUCGAAUGGUGGUGAAGGAAAGAAAUCGCAAGUAUGGCCAGGAAGGGGGCCUGGGGGGAGGGCAGAUGGGACGGGAAGAGACAACCCCAGGAGCCCAAGCAGAGCUGCUGGCAGGUGUGGAUGGGAGCAGGCCCUCCACUCCUGCUCCUUCAGGCCUUAGGGCCGAAUCCAGGCAGGGGCCUGGGGUCUCCUUGCCCUCAUUGGCACCCAUUUCCCCUGACCUCUCAGCAAGCUGACUCGGGAGAGUGUUACUGACUGCACCAUCCCAGCAUUCCUGUCUGGGAUUGACGUAGAGACUGAGAAGCUGCUCCGGGAGAAAGAUGAGGAGUUGCGAAGGAUGCAGGAGAUGCUGUAUAAAGUUCAGAGACAGAAGAAGGAGAAGAACUAGUUAGUUCCCUUGCCUUGGAUGUAUGUCUCCUCCUCUUUCUCCUGGUCCUUCCCAGCUCUUGAUCUGCUCUGGCCCCUCAAGCUACUGCCACUUCGCCUUAUGUCCCUGCUGCCUCCCUAGAGACUCAAAAGAAAUAAAGUGUUAAUGAAUCGG
This is an RNA transcript of Trichosurus vulpecula (common brushtail), 1794 nucleotides long. It is a transcript of the gene named septin-4-like, with no coding region annotated. Lineage: Eukaryota; Metazoa; Chordata; Mammalia; Diprotodontia; Phalangeridae. The record is from RefSeq and is a predicted model, not a curated record. The transcript is spliced from 11 exons.